RNAcentral lists this long non-coding RNA (298 nucleotides) under Salvia miltiorrhiza (redroot sage). Its description in RNAcentral is "long non-coding RNA (SMIL_LNC001461)". The record is from RNAcentral. Lineage: Eukaryota; Viridiplantae; Streptophyta; Magnoliopsida; Lamiales; Lamiaceae.
AAAGAGAUGAUUUUAAAAUUUGCAUGUUCUAGACCAAGUUUAAUGCUUUAUUUGGUACAAUCAUUUGUGUGUGUGUGUGUGUGUGUGUUCAUGUGAACCUGCAGCCGCUACCUUUGGUACACAUUACUACACUUGGAAAACCAGAUGUGAUAUAGAGGCUUUGAUGGGAUUCACAUUUCAGUUUCUUGAUACUAAGGGUGCAGUCACUUUGAUGGAUGGGAAAAGGAGGGAUAACAAAAAUUUAUGCCUUUGAAUGUCUCCUUUCUUUUCCCACAUUUUACACAAAAGAGAAGUUCAC